This 253-nucleotide ribosomal RNA is filed under the name uncultured bacterium. RNAcentral describes it as "partial 16S ribosomal RNA". It matches the Rfam family "Archaeal small subunit ribosomal RNA", at positions 474 to 727 of the family's 1478-position model. The record is from RNAcentral.
UACCAGCACCCCGAGUGGUCGGGACGAUUAUUGGGCCUAAAGCAUCCGUAGCCGGUCCUACAAGUCUUCCGUUAAAUCCACCUGCUUAACAGAUGGGCUGCGGAGGAUACUAUAGAGCUAGGAGGCGGGAGAGGCAAGCGGUACUUAGUGGGUAGGGGUAAAAUCCGUUGAUCCAUUGAAGACCACCAGUGGCGAAGGCGGCUUGCCAGAACGCACUCGACGGUGAGGGAUGAAAGCUGGGGGAGCAAACCGG